RNAcentral lists this ribosomal RNA (492 nucleotides) under Listeria monocytogenes. Its description in RNAcentral is "partial 23S ribosomal RNA". It matches the Rfam family "Bacterial large subunit ribosomal RNA", at positions 120 to 608 of the family's 2925-position model. The record is from RNAcentral. Lineage: Bacteria; Bacillati; Bacillota; Bacilli; Caryophanales; Listeriaceae.
GGGGGAACCCACUAUCUUUAGUCGGAUAGUAUCCUUACGUGAAUACAUAGCGUAAGGAAGGCAGACCCAGGGAACUGAAACAUCUAAGUACCUGGAGGAAGAGAAAGAAAAAUCGAUUUCCUGAGUAGCGGCGAGCGAAACGGAAAGAGCCCAAACCAAGAAGCUUGCUUCUUGGGGUUGUAGGACACUCUAUACGGAGUUACAAAAGAAAGUUAUAAAUGAAGCGGUCUGGAAAGGCCCGCCAAAGACGGUAACAGCCCGGUAGUUGAAAUGGCUUUCCCUCCAGAGUGGAUCCUGAGUACGGCGGAACACGUGAAAUUCCGUCGGAAUCCGGGAGGACCAUCUCCCAAGGCUAAAUACUCCCUAGUGACCGAUAGUGAACCAGUACCGUGAGGGAAAGGUGAAAAGCACCCCGGAAGGGGAGUGAAACAGUUCCUGAAACCGUGUGCCUACAAGUAGUUAGAGCCCGUUAAUGGGUGAUAGCGUGCCUUU